This 120-nucleotide ribosomal RNA is filed under the name uncultured bacterium. Its description in RNAcentral is "partial 16S ribosomal RNA". It matches the Rfam family "Bacterial small subunit ribosomal RNA", at positions 796 to 915 of the family's 1533-position model. The record is from RNAcentral.
CACGCCGUAAACGAUGUCUACUAGCCGUUGGGAGACUUGAUUUCUUAGUGGCGCAGCUAACGCAAUAAGUAGACCGCCUGGGGAGUACGGCCGCAAGGUUAAAACUCAAAUGAAUUGACG